RNAcentral lists this ribosomal RNA (1794 nucleotides) under human gut metagenome. RNAcentral's name for it is "bacterial LSU rRNA". It matches the Rfam family "Bacterial large subunit ribosomal RNA", at positions 348 to 2219 of the family's 2925-position model. The record is from RNAcentral.
AGGCUGGCCGGAGAAGGUGAAAGCCCUGUAGACGAAAUCCAGAGUGGGAAUUAGUGGUAUCCUGAGUAAUACAUCACACGUGGAACGAUGUAUGAACCCGCGCGGACCACCGCGCAAGGCUAAAUACUAGUUGGCGACCGAUAGUGAACAAGUACCGCGAGGGAAAGGUGAAAAGAACCGCUGUGAGCGGAGUGAAAUAGAACCUGAAACCGUAUGUCUACAAAGUGUCAGAGCAGAGCAAUCUGCGAUGGCGUGCCUUUUGUUUAAUGAGUCUGCGAGUCAGUGUUUGUGGCAAGACUAAGGGCUUCCGGCCCGGAGUCGCAGCGAAAGCAAGUCCGAACAGGGCGCAAUAAGUCGCAGGUACUGGACCCGAAGCGGAGGUGACCUACCCUUGGCCAGGUUGAAGCAUGGGUAAAACCAUGUGGAGGACCGAACAGGUGAACGUUGAAAAGUUCUCUGAUGAGCUGAGGGUAGGAGUGAAAGGCUAAUCAAACCCCGUGAUAGCUGGUUCUCUUCGAAAUGCAUUUAGGUGCAGCGUCACGUGCUGAUGCGCGGGGGUAGAGCACUGACAAGGCUAGGGGGCACACCCGCUUACCAAACCUUAUCAAACUCCGAAUACCGUGCAAUGGAACGUGGCAGUGAGACAGUGGGGGAUAAGCUUCAUUGUCGAGAGGGAAACAACCCAGACCAGCAGCUAAGGUGCCUAAAUAACGCUCAGUGGAAAGGAUGUGGGAUUACACAGACAGUGAGGAUGUUGGCUUAGAAGCAGCCACCAUUUAAAAAAUGCGUAAUAGCUUACUCAUCGAGUGAUCCUGCGCCGAAAAUGAUUGGCGAUCAAGCGUUAUACCGAAGCUCUGGACUUUGCCGCAAGGCAGAGUGGUAGAAGAGCGUUGCAUGCGCGUCGAAGGGCGAUGGCGACUGACCCUGGAGCACAUGCAAGUGAGUAUGCAGACAUGAGUAACGUUAAGCCGGGUGAAAUCCCCGGCCGCCGUAAACCCGAGGUUUCCAGGGCAACGUGUUUCGUCCCUGGGUUAGCCGGGACCUAAGCCGAGGCCGAGAGGCGUAGGCGAUGGACAUCAGGUUAAUAAUCCUGAGCUCGCAACCCUUAAACUGGGGGGACGCAUGAGAAAAGAUGACUAGGUUAUUGAAUUCCGAGUUGAGUCUACGGACUCAGCGCAUCAUUGGAUCGAGUGCCAAGAAAAGCCCCAGCGUAUGCUAAGCGACCCGUACCGCAAACCGACACAGGUGGGUGGGUAGAAUAUACCAAGGCGUAAGAGUGAAACCUGGUUAAGGAACUCGGCAAAUUAGCCCCGUAACUUCGGAAGAAGGGGUGCCUGCAGCGAUGCAGGCCGCAGAGAAAUGGCCCAACCGACUGUUUAUCAAAAACACAGCACUCUGCAAAGACGCAAGUCGAAGUAUAGGGUGUGACACGUGACCAAUGCCGAAAGAUUAAGGCAAGGGGUUAGCCGCAAGGCGAAGCUCUAAACCCAAGUCCCGGUGAAUGUCGGCCGUAACUAUAACGGUCCUAAGGUAGCGAAAUUCCUUGUCGGGUAAGUUCCGACCUGCACGAAUCGUGAAACGAGUUGGGCACUGUCUCAACCAGGCGCUCAGUGAAAUUGUAGUGGCGGUGAAGAUGCCGCCUACCCGCAGAAGGACGGAAAGACCCUAUAGACCUUAACUGUAAGCUGUCAUUGUUUCUUCGGUUUUAAUGCUCAGAGUAAGUGGGAGACGCUGAAGACGCCCUUUAGGGGGCGUCCGAGUCAUCAAUGAGACACCACCCUUUGAAACUGGAGG